GGGCGCUUGGCGCAAUGGUAGCGCGCUUCCAUGGCAUGGAAGAGGUUGGGGGUUCAAGUCCCCCAGCGUCCA
RNAcentral lists this transfer RNA (72 nucleotides) under Candidatus Iainarchaeum sp. RNAcentral describes it as "tRNA-Ala". It matches the Rfam family "tRNA". Rfam says of the family: Transfer RNA (tRNA) molecules are approximately 80 nucleotides in length. The record is from RNAcentral. Lineage: Archaea; Nanobdellati; Candidatus Iainarchaeota; Candidatus Iainarchaeia; Candidatus Iainarchaeales; Candidatus Iainarchaeaceae.